GCGCCUAUAGCUCAGUUGGUAGAGCAGCUCCCUUUUAAGGAGAUGGUCGCAGGUUCGAAUCCUGCUGGGCGCA
Molecule: transfer RNA, 73 nt
Filed under: Patescibacteria group bacterium
Lineage: Bacteria
Description: tRNA-Lys
Rfam family: tRNA
About the family: Transfer RNA (tRNA) molecules are approximately 80 nucleotides in length.
Source: RNAcentral